Molecule: ribosomal RNA, 3010 nt
Filed under: Salmonella enterica subsp. enterica serovar Gallinarum
Lineage: Bacteria; Pseudomonadati; Pseudomonadota; Gammaproteobacteria; Enterobacterales; Enterobacteriaceae
Also listed under: 1 other name
Description: 23S ribosomal RNA
Rfam family: Bacterial large subunit ribosomal RNA
Source: RNAcentral
GGGUUGUGAGGUUAAGCGACUAAGCGUACACGGUGGAUGCCCUGGCAGUCAGAGGCGAUGAAGGGCGUGCUAAUCUGCGAUAAGCGCCGGUAAGGUGAUAUGAACCGUUAUAACCGGCGAUACCCGAAUGGGGAAACCCAGUGUGAUUCGUCACACUAUCAUUAACUGAAUCCAUAGGUUAAUGAGGCGAACCGGGGGAACUGAAACAUCUAAGUACCCCGAGGAAAAGAAAUCAACCGAGAUUCCCCCAGUAGCGGCGAGCGAACGGGGAGGAGCCCAGAGCCUGAAUCAGCAUGUGUGUUAGUGGAAGCGUCUGGAAAGGCGCGCGAUACAGGGUGACAGCCCCGUACACAAAAGCGCAUGUGCUGUGAGCUCGAUGAGUAGGGCGGGACACGUGGUAUCCUGUCUGAAUAUGGGGGGACCAUCCUCCAAGGCUAAAUACUCCUGACUGACCGAUAGUGAACCAGUACCGUGAGGGAAAGGCGAAAAGAACCCCGGCGAGGGGAGUGAAAAAGAACCUGAAACCGUGUACGUACAAGCAGUGGGAGCACAGGUUUACCUGUGUGACUGCGUACCUUUUGUAUAAUGGGUCAGCGACUUAUAUUCUGUAGCAAGGUUAACCGAAUAGGGGAGCCGGAGGGAAACCGAGUCUUAACCGGGCGUUAAGUUGCAGGGUAUAGACCCGAAACCCGGUGAUCUAGCCAUGGGCAGGUUGAAGGUUGGGUAACACUAACUGGAGGACCGAACCGACUAAUGUUGAAAAAUUAGCGGAUGACCUGUGGCUGGGGGUGAAAGGCCAAUCAAACCGGGAGAUAGCUGGUUCUCCCCGAAAGCUAUUUAGGUAGCGCCUCGUGAAUUCAUCUCCGGGGGUAGAGCACUGUUUCGGCUAGGGGGCCAUCCCGGCUUACCAACCCGAUGCAAACUGCGAAUACCGGAGAAUGUUAUCACGGGAGACACACGGCGGGUGCUAACGUCCGUCGUGAAGAGGGAAACAACCCAGACCGCCAGCUAAGGUCCCAAAGUCAUGGUUAAGUGGGAAACGAUGUGGGAAGGCCCAGACAGCCAGGAUGUUGGCUUAGAAGCAGCCAUCAUUUAAAGAAAGCGUAAUAGCUCACUGGUCGAGUCGGCCUGCGCGGAAGAUGUAACGGGGCUAAACCAUGCACCGAAGCUGCGGCAGCGAACGUAUCACUUAAAGCGAUUCAGCGGGUUACGAUUGACGGAGCGAAGCGACGUCAAAGCGUAUACAAAGUCGAGUCGGUUUAAGGAUACGUUCGUUGGGUAGGGGAGCGUUCUGUAAGCCUGCGAAGGUGGCCUGUGAGGGUUGCUGGAGGUAUCAGAAGUGCGAAUGCUGACAUAAGUAACGAUAAAGCGGGUGAAAAGCCCGCUCGCCGGAAGACCAAGGGUUCCUGUCCAACGUUAAUCGGGGCAGGGUGAGUCGACCCCUAAGGCGAGGCCGAAAGGCGUAGUCGAUGGGAAACGGGUUAAUAUUCCCGUACUUGGUGUUACUGCGAAGGGGGGACGGAGAAGGCUAUGUUGGCCGGGCGACGGUUGUCCCGGUUUAAGCGUGUAGGUGUGUGUUCCAGGUAAAUCCGGUUCACUUUAACACUGAGGCGUGAUGACGAGGCACUACGGUGCUGAAGUAACAAAUGCCCUGCUUCCAGGAAAAGCCUCUAAGCAUCAGGUAACAUCAAAUCGUACCCCAAACCGACACAGGUGGUCAGGUAGAGAAUACCAAGGCGCUUGAGAGAACUCGGGUGAAGGAACUAGGCAAAAUGGUGCCGUAACUUCGGGAGAAGGCACGCUGACACGUAGGUGAAGUGAUUUACUCACGGAGCUGAAGUCAGUCGAAGAUACCAGCUGGCUGCAACUGUUUAUUAAAAACACAGCACUGUGCAAACACGAAAGUGGACGUAUACGGUGUGACGCCUGCCCGGUGCCGGAAGGUUAAUUGAUGGGGUCAGCGCAAGCGAAGCUCCUGAUCGAAGCCCCGGUAAACGGCGGCCGUAACUAUAACGGUCCUAAGGUAGCGAAAUUCCUUGUCGGGUAAGUUCCGACCUGCACGAAUGGCGUAAUGAUGGCCAGGCUGUCUCCACCCGAGACUCAGUGAAAUUGAACUCGCUGUGAAGAUGCAGUGUACCCGCGGCAAGACGGAAAGACCCCGUGAACCUUUACUAUAGCUUGACACUGAACAUUGAGCCUUGAUGUGUAGGAUAGGUGGGAGGCUUUGAAGUGUGGACGCCAGUCUGCAUGGAGCCGACCUUGAAAUACCACCCUUUAAUGUUUGAUGUUCUAACGUGGACCCGUUACCCGGGUUACGGACAGUGUCUGGUGGGUAGUUUGACUGGGGCGGUCUCCUCCUAAAGAGUAACGGAGGAGCACGAAGGUUGGCUAAUCCUGGUCGGACAUCAGGAGGUUAGUGCAAUGGCAUAAGCCAGCUUGACUGCGAGCGUGACGGCGCGAGCAGGUGCGAAAGCAGGUCAUAGUGAUCCGGUGGUUCUGAAUGGAAGGGCCAUCGCUCAACGGAUAAAAGGUACUCCGGGGAUAACAGGCUGAUACCGCCCAAGAGUUCAUAUCGACGGCGGUGUUUGGCACCUCGAUGUCGGCUCAUCACAUCCUGGGGCUGAAGCAGGUCCCAAGGGUAUGGCUGUUCGCCAUUUAAAGUGGUACGCGAGCUGGGUUUAGAACGUCGUGAGACAGUUCGGUCCCUAUCUGCCGUGGGCGCUGGAGAACUGAGGGGGGCUGCUCCUAGUACGAGAGGACCGGAGUGGACGCAUCACUGGUGUUCGGGUUGUCAUGCCAAUGGCACUGCCCGGUAGCUAAAUGCGGAAGAGAUAAGUGCUGAAAGCAUCUAAGCACGAAACUUGCCCCGAGAUGAGUUCUCCCUGAGACUUAGAGUCUCCUGAAGGAACGUUGAAGACGACGACGUUGAUAGGCCGGGUGUGUAAGCGCAGCGAUGCGUUGAGCUAACCGGUACUAAUGAACCGUGAGGCUUAACCUUACAACGCCGAAG